This 24-nucleotide non-coding RNA is filed under the name Cricetulus griseus (Chinese hamster). Lineage: Eukaryota; Metazoa; Chordata; Mammalia; Rodentia; Cricetidae. The record is from RNAcentral.
UUGGAAAUAGUUAACUGGUACUGU